GUGGAAGCGUCUGGAAAGGCGCGCGAUACAGGGUGACAGCCCCGUACACAAAAGCGCAUGUGCUGUGAGCUCGAUGAGUAGGGCGGGACACGUGGUAUCCUGUCUGAAUAUGGGGGGACCAUCCUCCAAGGCUAAAUACUCCUGACUGACCGAUAGUGAACCAGUACCGUGAGGGAAAGGCGAAAAGAACCCCGGCGAGGGGAGUGAAAAAGAACCUGAAACCGUGUACGUACAAGCAGUGGGAGCACAGGUUUACCUGUGUGACUGCGUACCUUUUGUAUAAUGGGUCAGCGACUUAUAUUCUGUAGCAAGGUUAACCGAAUAGGGGAGCCGGAGGGAAACCGAGUCUUAAUUGGGCGUUAAGUUGCAGGGUAUAGACCCGAAACCCGGUGAUCUAGCCAUGGGCAGGUUGAAGGUUGGGUAACACUAACUGGAGGACCGAACCGACUAAUGUUGAAAAAUUAGCGGAUGACCUGUGGCUGGGGGUGAAAGGCCAAUCAAACCGGGAGG
Molecule: ribosomal RNA, 510 nt
Filed under: Salmonella enterica
Lineage: Bacteria; Pseudomonadati; Pseudomonadota; Gammaproteobacteria; Enterobacterales; Enterobacteriaceae
Description: partial 23S ribosomal RNA
Rfam family: Bacterial large subunit ribosomal RNA
Source: RNAcentral